Molecule: long non-coding RNA, 372 nt
Organism: Magnolia sinica
Lineage: Eukaryota; Viridiplantae; Streptophyta; Magnoliopsida; Magnoliales; Magnoliaceae
Exons: 3
Source: RefSeq, a predicted model, not a curated record
UGCUCGUCCAUGAUGGGUGUUGUCACAGGCCGUGUUGAACAAGGGACUAUUAAAGUUGGAGAAGAUGUGGAGAUUUUAGGUUUAAUGCAGGUUAGACAAGUACAGGCAACUUGUACUGCGAAGGAACUACGUGAAAUUCCUUGUAGUUCCCACCUGAUACAUGAUUCGGAUGUCUAAUUAACAUGGGAAGGUGGCACUUGUCAAUGCACGUGGAGGGGCAUGCUCGUGGAGCUACAUAUCUCUUUGGAGAAAUGCAACAAGAAAGGGUUAAAGAGGAUGAAUAUGGAAAAUAAGACAUGUCAGGUAAUCUAUUUAUGAUUCUUGCUGUUUGAUUAUGGACUGUUAUGGUCUAUCCUCAUGGUGGCCUGUCAG